Molecule: ribosomal RNA, 467 nt
Filed under: uncultured bacterium
Lineage: Bacteria
Description: partial 16S ribosomal RNA
Rfam family: Bacterial small subunit ribosomal RNA
Source: RNAcentral
GAUGAACGCUGGCGGCGUGCUUAACACAUGCAAGUCGAACGGUGAAGGCGGAGCUUGCUCUGCUGGAUCAGUGGCGAACGGGUGAGUAACACGUGAGCAAUCUGCCCCUGACUCUGGGAUAAGCGCUGGAAACGGCGUCUAAUACUGGAUACGAGCUGCGAAGGCAUCUUCAGCAGCUGGAAAGAAUUUCGGUCAGGGAUGAGCUCGAGGCCUAUCAGCUUGUUGGUGAGGUAAUGGCUCACCAAGGCGUCGACGGGUAGCCGGCCUGAGAGGGUGACCGGCCACACUGGGACGGAGACACGGCCCAGACUCCUACGGGAGGCAGCAGUGGGGAAUAUUGCACAAUGGGCGAAAGCCUGAUGCAGCAACGCCGCGUGAGGGACGACGGCCUUCGGGUUGUAAACCUCUUUUAGCAGGGAAGAAGCGAAAGUGACGGUACCUGCAGAAAAAGCGCCGGCUAACUACGU